CUUUUUUUUACUUAAUUUGUAUUUGGUAAUAAUAAAGUUAUAUCCUUAAAAGUUAUAUCCUUAAAAGAGUAAAAAUACUCAGGGAAGAUUUUCAGUCUAAUAAAGAGACGAUACAAUAAAGUUUAGAAGAAGUAAAUUGUGAUUACAAGUCAAUUCUUUGUAUAUAUCAGCGUAAUUAAGCUUAAGUCCGUUAUAGAUGGCUUCGUACGUUCGAGUGGGCAACUUUAUUUUGAAGGAUGGUUGAUGGAUCACGAAUCUAGAAGAUGGGUAGACGCCGCCAGAGAAGAGGCACUGAUCAGGUAUGGAGAUAUGACGGUAGAAAGACCCGCAGGCUGGUCGUACAAUCGUAGAAGAGAACGGGAUUGGGGAUCUCGAAGAAGAAUGUCAUGCUGGUAGGGGGAGAUCAUAUUUUACGGAGGUGUCCCACGAUUAGCACAAACAAUAACAUGUUAACAGUACAGGAGGAAGAACCGAUGCGAGGACAAGGUAGCAGUUUAUGAGUGGUAGAAUCAAGUCGAAGUGCAAAGGUGUUAAAGUUAUGAAAAAAAAGAGUUUUUUUUUAUUGUAUUAUUUGAAUAUUAAAAUGAGAGAUGAAUAUAAAAGUUAUCCUUAACGAACUUGAUUGUACGGAGAAUAUGAUUGUCUAUUUUAAAUUUUGCAUAUAAAAUGGUUUUUGAAUAUUAA
Gordionus sp. m RMFG-2023 is the source of this 684-nucleotide long non-coding RNA. RefSeq lists it as uncharacterized. The transcript has 3 exons. The record is from RefSeq and is a predicted model, not a curated record. Lineage: Eukaryota; Metazoa; Nematomorpha; Gordioida; Chordodea; Parachordodidae.